This is a non-coding RNA of Podarcis lilfordi (Lilford's wall lizard), 83 nucleotides long. The record is from the annotation of a GenBank genome assembly. NCBI's taxonomy places the organism in Eukaryota, Metazoa, Chordata, Lepidosauria, Squamata, Lacertidae.
AAAGAAUCUCAGGAACUGUAGCUUGUUAAAGGCGCUUGGAACUUUAACUCUGUUAUUGGUAAACUACAGUUCCCAAGAUCCUU